ACAGAAUUUCUUGACGACCAUAGAGCAUUGGAACCACCUGAUCCCAUCCCGAACUCAGCAGUGAAACGAUGCAUCGCCGAUGGUAGUGUGGGGUUUCCCCAUGUGAGAGUAGGUCAUCGUCAAGA
This 125-nucleotide ribosomal RNA is filed under the name Pseudomonas sp. URIL14HWK12:I1. Lineage: Bacteria; Pseudomonadati; Pseudomonadota; Gammaproteobacteria; Pseudomonadales; Pseudomonadaceae. RNAcentral also lists the same sequence under 1 other name. The record is from RNAcentral.